RNA transcript from Pteropus alecto (black flying fox), 5966 nucleotides. It is a transcript of the gene named 5-hydroxytryptamine receptor 1D, with no coding region annotated. The transcript has 6 exons. Lineage: Eukaryota; Metazoa; Chordata; Mammalia; Chiroptera; Pteropodidae. The record is from RefSeq and is a predicted model, not a curated record.
CGCGGAGGGGGCGCCCGGGCUCGGGCCUGGCAACCCGCGGCGUCUCACCCCUGGGCGCCUUCGGACGGGAGGCGCGCGCGGGCAAGAGGGUCCCGGAGGACCAGCCCAGCCCCAGGGGAGCGUCCGAGGGCGCCGUCCAGAGCCCCAGGGUGGAGGGUGGGCCGAGGCGGCACCCAGAGGCAGCUACGGGGUUCCAGGUUCGCGUGCGGGGUGCCCCGCGCCGAAGCGAGAUCUGGCAGGGCAGGGCGGGAGGCGCACCCUCUGGACCAGGGGCUGCGGCUCCCCAUCUUGGCCCCGCGCGGCCGAGGGUAAGCUGGGUGCUGCCCCCUACCGGCCAGGUCGGGAUGCGGCGCCGUGCGGGGCCGCCCCUUUGAGGAGGGGAGUUGAAGGAGCGUCCAGUGUCGGACCUCGGAGCUUCCAGAUCCGAAGCUCUGCGCGCCCUGACUGUCUGUGACCUUGGGCAGGUCACUGCAUCUCUUCGAGCAUAAGUUUGUACAUCUGUCAAAUGGAGGAGAUGCUUCUCUCACCCCGCGGGAUCCAUGGGAAUAAAUGAGAUGCCGAAUGGAUGUCUUUUUAUAAACUGUAAAGUUCUGUACAAAUCCUAGCUAAUCACGUAAUGUCAGAAUUGGAAGGGCACUAAGGAAUCUGCUUUAUUGGGAGAGCGGUAAUAAAUUUUGCCCAAGGUCACACUGCUUGUAAGAGAAUAUAAGACUAAAGUCCCUUGCCUCACCAGCUCUGGGGAAGUUCAAGGAUUAAGAUCUGGGGCUCUCAGUCAGACUGACUGGCUACAUUAGCAAACCCGGCUUGGCUACUUCCUAGCUGUGUGACCUUGGGAAAACCCUUAACCUCUCUGAGCCUUGGUUUCCCUCCUCACAGGCUUUGCUGUGCAAAUCAAAUGAGGUCAUUGUUCAGGACAGCCCCUGGCCUCUAACAGCAGCCCGGUCAUUAGUGACCAUCAUCCUUCUGAUUAGGAGCAGCAACCGCUCAGUCUCUUCCUUGGACUCGGACUCUGGUGUUUUCUAAUUCAGUGCACGUUGUGGGGCUGUGCUCUCCCCUGGGCUGCACAGACACUGGCCAGGGUCUCAGCCUUCCUCCCAAGGACAUCAGGAGACCCUUUACUGACAGCAGCAAGCAAGACUUCCGGGGCGGCUGGGCAUUCUCCAGCCUUUGGCCCUGUCCAGCUGGUGGGAUGAAAUGGGUGGUCUUUGUCAUGGAGGACCUAGAGGGUGGUAUAGGAGGGAGGGGGCUGGCCAGCUGGGCAUGACUGGUAGAGCCUAGAGUCCCCUCUCCUCCUCCCCCUGGUGCCUAGCACAGGGCUGGAAACAGAGAGGUGAUUUCUCAGAGUUUGUCAGUUACCUGGUGGAUAAAUAAGGUGGAUACGCUGGUUCAUCCCUUUUCUCCUAGGCCGCAGAUGGAUGACUGUUCUUUUUGGCGACAGUGAUGCGAAUGUGUGCAGAAAUACAGAUUCUCAGAGCUGAGUUCCCAGAACCUCAUUGCAGAGAUGGAUCCCAGAGAGUCAGGGAUCUGCCCAGGUCACCAGUGUCCUCCAGGAAGCUGAAUUCAGUAGACACUGUUUACUCUUUAACUUUCUCAGCAGCAGCUGACACUGCUGAACUCUCUUUUCCUCUGCAAACACUCUCUUGUGGCUCCUGCAACUUAACAUUGCCCUAUUUUGCCUCCUGCAUCUCUGUUGUUUUUGCAGGUUCAUCCUCCUUUCUACAAUCGUUAGUUCCUCUGCUCUCCCACACCCUCCUCUCUUCUCCUAGUAGACACUCUUCCUGGGUGGUCUCGUCCACCCAUUAGCUUGAGUUACUGCCUCUAUGCACUUGACCUCAUAUACGUAUGUAUCUAGCUCAGAACUCUCUUCAGGCUGUGGACCCACCUAUUUAUUGUCAGCCAGGUAUUGUUCUAGGCCACAGGGAUAUAGUGAUGAGCUGGACAGAAAGUGAUUGUUGGAGGUAUGGGGAGAUAAACAAUAAAUGAAUAAGCAGAAAAUAUUUUUUAAAAAAGGAUAAAGUGCUAAAAUGGGCAUAAAGCAGGCUGAUAUGAUCGAUGAUGAGAGCUAGUUUAUGUGGACUGGUCAAAGAUCUGCCUUAAGGGGUGAUAUUGAAGGGGGGCAGCUGGUAAGAGAUGAGGUCAGAAAGGUGGCUGGUUGGGGAUAGGAGCAGCUAAUGUAGGCCAUGGUGAGAUUUUAGAUUUUAUUCGGAUAUGGGAGCUUUUGUAGAGUUUCAGACAAGAGAGAGGGAAUACGGUUAUUUCUCCAGGGUUCAUCUGAGCCCUAGAAGAGGAGUUAGUCUAUAGUGAUUGCAGCCUACUGUGCUCUGGGCGCUAGGGUGGGGAGCAUAGCUCCUCAAGGAGCUUCCAGCCACAGGCUGUAAGAGGCACAAACAAACCUGGAGUCAGGAGAGGGUUUAAAGGAGGGAGAUUUUGCAGGGAAGGCUUCCUGGAGGAAGUGGCUUUUGAGGAGGGCCUCAGAGAACAGAGAGCAGAGUACAAUAGGUAUGUAUGAAGGGAAAUGGGGAAGAUUGCUCUUCCAGGCAGAGGGCAGUCUGUCAGCCUGAACCAAGACGCACGCGCCCCAAAUGUGUGUACAGAAGACGGGGAAAAGAAGAUAGAACCUGUAGGGCAGUGAGAAGCCAGGCUGAUGAAGAAAUCUGGGCUGUUCAGAGCAAAGCUCCAAACUUGGCCACUUACUUGCUAUGUGACCUUGAGCCAAUUGCAUUACCCUUCUCAACCUCAGCUUCCUUAUUCAUCAAAGGGCAGUAACUGGUUAAAUGCUGAGUAAGAGAAGGAGAGAGAGAGAGGAUUCAAGUGUUGGGGAUGGGUGAGUAAGAACAGGAUAAUGCCUCCCAAGGAGGAAACAGGAAGGACUGGAGUGGAUGAGGGAAAUGGCGACUCGACUGAGGUCGAUGUCCCUGUGGGACAUCCAGGAGGGAUGAGCAAAGGACAUUUGGGGCCAGAGGUGUCAGAGAUAAAACUGUCAGCGUUCUUCUUUCAUUCAUUCUUUGAGUAAAUCGUUACCAAACCACUGUAAGUAUUAAGCCCAAACAUACAUCCGUGAACAAAACCAGCUCUCUGCUCCAGGUAUAUACCAUUUUGUGGGGACAGAGCCCCUCAGCAUUAGACUGCAGGAUGAUGAGAGACACGCAUGUAAAUUACAAACAUGAGCCACAAGUUAGAGGAGGGAGGCUGAUUCCACUUGGACGGAAGGAAUAGACACAUUUCAGCUAAGGGGAGGCAGUUGAAUUUGAUCCUGAGGGUAAAAGUGAGGUUGAAGGGGUGGGUGAAGGGGGAGGAUACCCUACACAGAGGGCACUGGGCUUCAUGACACAUGACAUACGUGUCCCCUGUCCCUUCCAGAACUCCAGUCCUACAGAAAGGCAGUCAGCAAGUGAGCCCAGUUGAAGGGAGUCCAGGGUCAUAUGUGAUAAGGAGACCAGUGGGGUGGGGAGGAAGGAGGGAUCACUACCAUUCCUAAAGUCCAGAAGAACCUUGAGAAGGUUGAAGGGGACAAGAGGAAGGGCAUUCCGGGUAGAGGGAACAGCCUGUGCAAAGGCUCAGAGGAGUGAGAGAACCACAGUGUUUUUGCAGGAGUGGGUCUGAGCCAAGCUGGAGGUAGCCUGUUUUGCUGAAUGCAGGUGAGCAGGAGGAUGAGAAGAAAGAGCUGAACUGUGCAGUCUCUGAAUAGGGUCCCUAGGUAAUGCUUGUGCCCAUCAAGUGUGAGAAGCACUGCAGUGAUCACAUUCCCGCCUUCUCUUCGGGUUGUGCUGAGUGCUGAAUGAAGAUGUCUGUGCACCCUCCCAUCGGCAGAGAGAGGCCCUUUCAGAUGCAAGUGAUGGAGCUUGGCACACAACGGGCACCCAGCGAAGAUGUUUUGAAUGUGUGCAGGCAUACGUGAGGUGGUAGGCCAGAUUUUGCAGAAGAGAAAAUGGAGGCUGUGGGAGGUCCCAUGCGGCGGCGAGAAAGACGCAGUCACAGCUAUAGAUGUGCUUUGUACAAUAGAAAGCGCUCUUCAGAUUUGUGGAGAAUCAUUUUCCCUUCCAGGGCUCACUCAGCCAUACCACACAGCUUCCGGAGAAAGAACAGACAGACACGAAUUCCUCCAUGGGGAUUAUUCUACUGCGACACAUCUUUAUCACAGAACCUUGGUUUUUUUCUUCCAAAAGGAUGAAGCCGGCUCCUGAGCAUCCAUGAAAACCAUACAUCCUCAAAGUUUUAUGACUCACUUAGUUAAAAUCAAGAGCAUUCAGAACAGGGAGGUGACUGAUCUCCCCGGGUAGGAAGUCUUAGUUAAGAGUGAUAAAAAAAAAAAAAAAACACCUGCCAUGUGGCAGCCGCUGUGCCGGCAUGUUUUCCCUCCUUCGCUGAAUCGACAUAGCGAUUCUGAGAGAAAGAUGCUCUUACCCCAGUUUACAGAUGAGAAAGAAAAGCCCCAGAGGUGAAAUGACUUGCCUCGAUCCACAGUAGGGACUGCUCGGGGGAAGGGAACCGAGAAACCUCUGUCUUAUGACUGUUUCUCAGGGCCUGUUGUGUCCAUUUGAACUGGGUCAAUUGAGAAAAGUCCGAGUUGGUACAAAUGUGGUUUCCUGGGUCCAGAUGUCACUUGUGGACAUCCAAGGAUAGGAAGGAGUGUCACUGGGCCUGGCAGGCUCCAUCUCCCUCCUCUCCUAGGGCAGGUGUUUCCCCCUCCCCCGCCUCUUCUUUUCUCUGUCUUUUCCGUUCUCCUGCCUCUUUCUGCCGAUCUAUUUUCCUUGUUUAUUUAUGGCCUUCCUGCCCUGGUUUUGGUUAUGGCUGUGGCCCAACAUCAGCCUCAGGAUUCUUAGCUUUCAGGUUGCUCUCCUUCCGUCACCUAUCUACCCAGCAGCUCCCAAUCUCCAUUCUAAAUUCCUAAGAGAGAAUCUGCCUGACUCAUUUUGGGUCACGUGUCCACCCUGGUCUGAUCAGCUGUGCUCAGAGGUGGUCUGUGGAACAAGCUGAGAUUCGGACCCAGUCAGUGCUGCCGUGACCAUUCUUGCUGCUGUCUGCUGGGGAACACAUCCAAGAAUGUCUCUGUGAUGCAUACCUGAGAGUGAAAUGACUGGAUAUGAGUGCGAUGAGGGGAAAAGGAGUUGAUUAUAGAGCUACACAGUCUGUACCUCCGAAGGUAGUUGGAUUCUGGGAAGUCCCCCAGCUUCGUUCAGGAUGGGGAAGGACAGCAGGCAGGAGAGAAGGGAGGUGGCCUCAGCGUCAUAUAGCUUCCUGCAGAGCUAGAGCCCAGUAUUCCCGACAGAGGCAAUCCAUCCAUCCAUCCAUCCCGUCCUUCUUCCCAAGAUGUCACCCACCAACCUCUCAGGCCUUUCUGAGCCCACGCCUUUCACUGGAAUGAGGUCACUGGAAUGCCUGGAACCCAAGGAGCGACCGCAUGAGUUUGUGGGGCAAGCACACCAGCCUCCUGUGAGAAAUGAGGCGCCUCACUCACCCAGACUGUCUGGAAGGAAGAAAAUUCCAAACGGUCCGACCCAACUUCACAUUUUUCAUGUGAACCAAAACGGGAGGAGUCUUUGGCCAGGGGCUUUUGGGGUGGAGCAGCAGGGCUCAGAUUUUCACUUAUCGCCAUGAGAUCCGAAACCGGCUUCACUCCUGAAAGCACAUGUGCCCUAAGGCUUUUCUUCCUGAACUGAAGCAGUGUGGAGAAGAAUGGGAAUUUGGAGAGCUGGCUCUGGACCCAGUUUUUCCACUUCCACCUGGGUGACCUUGGGCAGGUGACAUCACCUCCCUGAGCACUGGUUGGCUCAUUUCCACCAGGAUUGCCAUACCUCCCGACUCUGACUAUUGAAACCCUUCUCGUUAAGGCAGCCAACCAGUGAAACACUAUGCAGCCCUUAAGAAUGAUGUUAUGGGGGUGAUUAAUGGAACAUUGUUCAAAAUAUGUUAAGUUGGAAAACAUACAAACUACAAAAUAAAUUCAUACGUAAUUAUAAAGAUCA